UCAGGACGAUGAAUUCUUACCUUCUCGUGGUGUCCAGCGUCAGUAUUCAUCUGCUUGAUGAAGAAGCUGAAAAGAAUU
Molecule: non-coding RNA, 78 nt
Filed under: unclassified sequences
Source: RNAcentral